AUUUGCAGUUAAUAAACUUACAGUUCUGCAAAUACUGUAAGUAAAAUAAAUAAAUGACUUCCGUUAUGAAGAACCACAUAUGUGAAUGUCACUGUGAGGAGACAGCAUGUAUUUAUUUGUGAUUUAUAAUGAAUUUGAUUCUUAACGAUGGAUAUAUAACAAUGAGGGAGGAGCUGAAAUAGGAAGAAAUAAAGAAAAAAAAAUGAGCUCAUUACUGCAAUGCUUCUGACUUAAGGUCUGGCCCAUGAAUGGAAUACAUGGCAAGGAGGAAUACGUUUGGAAUUUCACCCCAGUGAAACAGAGCUUUUUCUAGGAAUCAGCCAAUGGAACAGGUGUUGAGCGGCAUGCAGAAGUGGCACCAGAACUCACAUCACAAAUAACGUGAAUCCUUCAUAACAAAUCCUGUUGACUGUAUCAUCUGUACCUUCAUCACUAGUGAUUGUCAUGAUUGUAACAACACUGGCUUUUUAAUUAUCAUAUCAAGAUACUACCAGUACUAAAUUGAAAGUAGCAGAUAAUCCAGUGUCCCAGAGAAGGUUUUCUUUUCGUGAUUUGAGAUUCAGGCAGAUACUUCCACAUUAAGUUCUUUCUUUUUUUGUUCACAGCUAUGAGAGCCAGAGGUUGAAUCUUUAAAAACUUUAAAAACAAAUUGCAGAGAGAAAUAUGGCACCCUUAAAAAUAUUACAAGUUCACUGACCUAAUACUGGUAGGACAAGUUUGAGCCUUGAACUUAUUCCUCAGAAAGAAGGCUUACUGGAGGACUGUUGAGAUAAAAUCACAUUUUUAAGGCACAAAAAAAAUGGAAAAAUGAAAGGAGAGUCACAAAAGCUUUGUACUGGUCCCAAGAAGAAAUAAGGGUCUGAGAAGACAUGAGAUAAACUGACUCAUAGAAUCACAGAAUUAUAGAAUCCUUAGAGUUGGAAGGGACCUCUAAAAGUCAUCUAGUCCUACAACCCUUCCAUGAACAGGGACAUAUACAGCUAGAUGAAGUUGCUCAGAGGCUGGUCCAGCCUUGAAUACCUUCAGGGACAGGGACUCCAUCACAUCUCUGGGUAACCUGUGACAGUGCCUCAACACUCUCACUGGAAAAUACAUUUUCCUUACAUCCAACCUAAAUCUACCCUCUUUUAAGUUUAAAAUCAUUUCCUCUUGUUCUAUCACAACUGACCAUGCUAAAGAGCCUGCCCCCUCCCUUCUUAUAGACCCCUUUAGGUACUGAGAGGCUGCUCUCAGGUCUCCACAGAGCCUUCUCUUCUCCAGGCUGAUCAGCCUCAGCUCUCUCAGCCUGUCCUUGUAGGGCAGGUGUUCCAUCCUUUGGAUCACUUCUGUGGCCUUUCUCUGGGCUCUGUACAGAGUAGAGAGGCAGGAUCAUCUCCCUCACCCUCCUGGCCACACUUUUUUUGAUGCAGCCCAGGAUACAGUUGGCUUUCUGGGCUGUGAGGGCAUACUGCUGACUCAUGUCAGGCUUCCCAUCCACCAGUACCCCCAUGUCCUUUUCUGACUCACUAAAGUCAGAAGAUAAAAGCGAGGAAACUUUGAAGAUGGAGGGAGUUUCUCUAAGGACAGGUCUUACUGAAUUUUCUUCAUUGUAAAACAAAAUAUGUAAAAAUAAUACCAUAUGCUGAUGACAUGAGAUACUGUCAAUAUAACAAAGGAUUAAACUGCCUUACAGAAUGAACUGGAAUACCUUGAGACUGUAAGCAAUGGAAAUCAAAGGAAAUAAUACUACAGACAUGUUACAAAAUAUUACAGAACGCAAAGUCAUGCUUCAAGAGUAUUGCUAUGAAGAAUUUCUGUUGACAUGUAAUUCACCAGCUGGAAACAACAGAGGAUAAGAAAGUUAAGUGACUGUACUAAUUGAGAACAUUAAAAACCUCAAAGCAAGAUAUAUACGUGUAAAAGCUAACCAACAGUGUAUCUUAAAAGGUUUCCUCCACUCAUGUUUCUUCAGGAAAAGGCAAAUAUGAAUCCAUAUACACUGUGUGUACACUUCUGGAUGGCCAUGUUCAAGAGAGAAAUACUGACAUUAAAACAUACAUAGAAAUGGUAGGGUAAAUAUUAGACUUACAACAUAACAGAAGUCAAGAAAAACUUGAAGCGUGCAGUCUAGAAAAGUAAAGCUGAGUUGUAUCAAUGGAGGUAUAUAAACACUGGGAAAGGAAAAAAGCCAGGUACAAAGAAGGACAUUUAUUUUUAUUUUUAUUUUUAUUUUUAUUUAUUUAUUUAUUUAUUUAUUGUGAAGGACAAUGUUAGCACAGGAGCAAAGACAAUUUUCACUGUAUAUGGACAAAUAUGACUAUACGUUAGGGAGAAGUUUUUUGUGUGUUUUUAGAAAUAAUCACUCUUGCAGAAGUACCAAGGCAUGGAUAUCUUUCCAAAAUAAACGAAGGAGAAGCUGACAAAUAUAACAUACAAACAUCAGCUUCAGUAACUAAACCAAGGAACAGGAAUGCUAGAGGAUAAGAGGAGGAAUCCUUUCUCUCCAAGUACAGUUCUAUCAAAAUCUGUAGUAACAAC
Molecule: long non-coding RNA, 2517 nt
Organism: Gallus gallus (chicken)
Lineage: Eukaryota; Metazoa; Chordata; Aves; Galliformes; Phasianidae
Source: Ensembl